UGGAAAGCUGUGGUGCAGGCCUUGCAGU
This 28-nucleotide non-coding RNA is filed under the name Mus musculus (house mouse). The record is from RNAcentral. Lineage: Eukaryota; Metazoa; Chordata; Mammalia; Rodentia; Muridae.